CGCUGAACUUAAGCAUAUCAAUAAGCGGAGGAAAAGAAACUAACAAGGAUUCCCCUAGUAACGGCGAGUGAAGCGGGAAGAGCUCAAGCUUAAAAUCUCCGUGCAAGUUUUGCGCGGCGAAUUGUAGUCUAUAGAGGCGUGGUCAGCAUGGGCGCUUGGGGCAAGUUCCUUGGAAGAGGACAGCAUGGAGGGUGAUACUCCCGUUCAUCCCUGAGUGGCUCGUGCGUACGACCCGUUUUCUUUGAGUCGCGUUGUUUGGGAAUGCAGCGCAAAGUAGGUGGUAAAUUCCAUCUAAAGCUAAAUAUUGGUGCGAGACCGAUAGCGAACAAGUACCGUGAGGGAAAGAUGAAAAGAACUUUGAAAAGAGAGUUAAAGAGUACCUGAAACUGCUGAAAGGGAACCGAAUCGUUUCCAGUGUCUAUAAUCCGUGGCAUAUUUCAUUGGCGAGCGUUUGCGUGCGUGUGCUGUGGCAGUGGCUUUUUUGGCUGCGCCUGGCGUGUGUGCUGUGAGUGUUUGCUGGUGCCCUGUGCUGCGGUGGGACGUCAAGGUCAGUUCGUAUGCUGCGGGAAAUGGCUGCCGAGGAGGUAGGGCUUACGCUCCGCGUUUGUCUGUUAUAUCUUGGUGGACGAGUCGUCGUGGUUGGGACUGAGGUGCCUACAACGUGCUUUUGAGUGGGUUUGUGUCUCCGUGUGCGCCGUGUGCGGAUAGCUUGCUAUGCGUGUGUGGUUGUGUGUGGAUUGAUGCGGGCUUUAACUUGUCGCCGUUCGGGACGUUGACGAAAUGGAGCGAUCCGACCCGUCUUGAAACACGGACCAAGGAGUCUAACAUGUGUGCAAGUGUUAGGGUGUGGAAACCCCAGCGCGAAAUGAAAGUGAAGGGCAGCGCAAGUUGUCUGAGGUAGGAAACGUUGCGGGCCUCGGUCUGCGGCGUGGCACUAUCGACCGAUCAUGAACCUUCGUGGUGAAAGAUUUGAGUUUGAGCACAUAUGUUGGUACCCGAAAGAUGGUGAACUAUGCCUGAGUAGGGUGAAGCCAGGGGAAACUCUGGUGGAAGCUCGUAGCGAUUCUGACGUGCAAAUCGAUCGUCAAACUUGGGUAUAGGGGCGAAAGACUAAUCGAACCAUCUAGUAGCUGGUUCCCUCCGAAAUUUCCCUCAGGAUAGCAGCAACUUAUUUACGAUAGUUUUAUGAGGUAAAGCGAAUGAUUAGAGGAUUCGGGGAAGAAACUUCCUCGACCUAUUCUCAAACUUUAAAUCUGUAAGACCUGCAGGUUUCUUAAUUGAACUUGUGGAUGUGAAUAUCAAGUUGCUAGUGGGCCAUACGGGGUAAGCUCGUCUGGCG
This 1339-nucleotide ribosomal RNA is filed under the name Phytophthora capsici. Its description in RNAcentral is "eukaryotic LSU rRNA". It matches the Rfam family "Eukaryotic large subunit ribosomal RNA", at positions 26 to 1155 of the family's 3401-position model. The record is from RNAcentral. Lineage: Eukaryota; Oomycota; Peronosporomycetes; Peronosporales; Peronosporaceae.